GACGCUCGCUUGACUCCGAGGAAGCGGAAAGAAAACGAGGGAUGUGGGCGUGAGGAGUGUGUGAGUGUGUGUGUGUGUGUGUGUGUCAAGCUGUAUCUCGCGUAUUUCAUCUUUCUGAGCAACUACUGGAGGCGCAGUGGAGCACGAGGAAACUAUUACACUUCAGAGAACCUGUGUGACGGACGAGACUGAAGGAGGAGGCCAGUGGGAGGAGGAAACGAGGAUAACUUGGUCGUCGCGGAGUCAAGCUACGACUACAGAAGGACACAGGAAGGUGGGAGUGACGAGAGGAGGUCCCAAACACUCUCCCUGCGGCACCCCGGCACCUGCUUGCUACCCACGGGCCCGCAUCUCAUCCCGCCUCGCAAAAAGCAAUAUGGAUGUUGGUCGUAAGAUGGCGAAGAGUCACACGAGCGAGACGAUACUCUAGCAGACUUAUGUACUCUCUUUAAUGUGGCGGCCAGAACAGCACAACACAUCACAGCACAGGAUACUCCAGAUGAGAUAAGAGUGAGACCCUUCAGGUGACCUAAGCACUGCCCCCCCCCCCCGUGAUCUCCAGGACUGAUCCCUCGUGCCCCCGGUGACCCGACAGCCACCAUCGCCAUAACGCGCAGGAAGAAUUAAAAAGAUAUUUACGGAAGGGAAUAGAAGGAAUACAUUGAUGCUGAAGGAAUAAAAUAGUAGAUUAAUUUUCCUGAAGAAGAUUAGAAAAAAACAUGAACUUGUGUGUUUUCCCUUACCAAGAUAAAGAAAAGAGGUUGUUUGCCGUUAUAUUUCUUCACAGGAUGGAAUAAUUUAAUGGUUGUUGCUUCUUUUCAAAACAAGAUUAGCAGUUUUCACCCACGAUGACAGAAUAUCCACACACUAAUGCACUAACAGAAAAAAUGGACAUGCAUAUAUUUUCUUGCUGGCAUAGAAAGAAUAGUUUAAUGGUUAUAAUAUUUUUUUAGAGGAACACGUUUAUAUAUUGACGACUAUUAUAUUUGUUAUCAUAGUAGUUAAGAACGUACUGAUAGGAAACAACGGAAUUUAUGCAUGUUUCAUUACCGGGAUGGAAAGAACAGUGUAGUGGCUGUCAUAUAUAUAAUUCAGGAAUAUGAUCAUCCACCACAUUAAAUAGAAAAAAAAAAAAGGAAUUAUAUGUAUUUCACUACCUUGAUUGAAAGAACGGUUUAAUGACACACAUUUUUCACCGGAAUACAAUUUUUCCCACCGCACUUAAGACUAAACUAAAUCUAAGGCAUACAGUUUCUUUCACCUGCAAGUAUUCACCAGCGCAGCAUCUCGACGUAGCGCCACGAGGAAGCCGGAACACCCCAGGACCUCCACGGCGGCAUAAUUAAUACUGGGAAAUACCUGCGUUAUGAGGCCAAUAGGAAAACCCAUCUAGAGAAUACGUCACCGUCAUUCUCAAGUGACUCCUUUCUUGCCUCAGCUAUGUGUCCAAUCCCCGCGUGUUGAGACAAAGGCCAGACCAUCUACAGCUUCCGUCACUCCUGUCUCCUACAUUUUAACAAGCUCCAUUGGAAAUUACUGAGGAUUUUCAAGGGUGUUCUUUUGGAUACUAGCCCUUUCAGAUAUUCUUCUCCCAUAAUCCCAUACAACUUUUCAGAUCCUUAUUUUUGUAUUAAAGCAUGUUAAAUAUUCAUGUAGCGUG
Long non-coding RNA from Scylla paramamosain (green mud crab), 1660 nucleotides. RefSeq lists it as uncharacterized. The transcript is spliced from 6 exons. The record is from RefSeq and is a predicted model, not a curated record. Lineage: Eukaryota; Metazoa; Arthropoda; Malacostraca; Decapoda; Portunidae.